GCAUAUCAAUAAGCGGAGGAAAAGAAAAUAACAAUGAUUUCCCUAGUAACGGCGAGUGAAGAGGAAAGAGCUCAAAGUUGGAACCUGUUUGGCCUAGCUAAACCGGAUUGUAGACUGUAGAAGUGUUUUCCAGGCAAGCCGAGUAAAUAAGUCCUUUGGAACAGGGCAUCAUAGAGGGUGAGAAUCCCGUCUUUGGCUUGAGCAUUUGCCUUUUGUGAUACGCUUUCAAAGAGUCAGGUUGUUUGGGAAUGCAGCCUAAAUUGGGUGGUAAAUCUCACCUAAAGCUAAAUAUUGGCGAGAAACCGAUAGCGAACAAGUACCGUGAGGGAAAGAUGAAAAGAACUUUGAAAAGAGAGUUAAACAGUAUGUGAAAUUGUUAAAAGGGAACCGUUUGGAGCCAGACUGGCUUGUCUGUAAUCAAUCUAGGCUUCGGCCUGGAUGCACUUGCAGGCUAUGCCUGCCAACGACAAUUUGACUUGAGGGAAAAAACUAAGGGAAAUGUGGCCCACUUGUGGGUGUUAUAGUCCCUUAGAAAAUACCUUGGGUUGGAUUGAGGAACGCAGCGAAUGCUUUUUGGCGAGUUUUCCAGGAAGGUUUUCUGAGGUACUACGGUAUCAAGGUUGAUCUUUUUGGUUAUACUUCUAUUCGCUUAGGUUGUUGGCUUAAUGACUCUAAAUGACCCGUCUUGA
Molecule: ribosomal RNA, 689 nt
Filed under: Rhizopus delemar
Lineage: Eukaryota; Fungi; Mucoromycota; Mucoromycetes; Mucorales; Rhizopodaceae
Description: LSU rRNA
Rfam family: Eukaryotic large subunit ribosomal RNA
Source: RNAcentral